AUUGAACGCUGGCGGCACGCCUUACACAUGCAAGUCGAACGGUAACAGGUCUUCGGAUGCUGACGAGUGGCGAACGGGUGAGUAAUACAUCGGAACGUGCCUAGUAGUGGGGGAUAACUACUCGAAAGAGUGGCUAAUACCGCAUGAGAUCUACGGAUGAAAGCAGGGGAUCGCAAGACCUUGUGCUACUAGAGCGGCCGAUGGCAGAUUAGGUAGUUGGUGGGAUAAAAGCUUACCAGGCCGACGAACUGUAGCUGGUCUGAGAGGACGAUCAGCCGCGCUGGGACUGAGACACGGCCCAGACUCCUACGGGAGUCAGCAGUGGGGAAUUUUGGACAAUGGGCGCAAGCCUGAUCCAGCAAUGCCGCGUGCAGGAUGAAGGCCUUCGGGUUGUAAACUGCUUUUGUACGGAACGAAAAGCCCCGGGUUAAUACCCUGGGGUCAUGACGGUACCGUAAGAAUAAGCACCGGCUAACUACGUGCCAGCCGCCGCCGUAA
Molecule: ribosomal RNA, 498 nt
Filed under: uncultured bacterium
Lineage: Bacteria
Description: partial 16S ribosomal RNA
Rfam family: Bacterial small subunit ribosomal RNA
Source: RNAcentral